This 221-nucleotide long non-coding RNA is filed under the name Mytilus galloprovincialis (Mediterranean mussel). The record is from RNAcentral. Lineage: Eukaryota; Metazoa; Mollusca; Bivalvia; Mytilida; Mytilidae.
UUUCUGUUUACAAAAUUUUUCAAUUUUUCGAAAAACUAAGGAUUUUCUUACCCCAGGAGUAGAUUACCUUAGCCGUAUUUGGCACAACUUUUGGAAAUUUUGGGUCCUCAAUGCUCUUCAACUUUGUAUUUGUUUGGCUUUUUAACUAUUUUGAUCUGAGCGUCACUGAUGAGUCUUAUGUAGACGAAACGCGCGUCUGGCGUAUAAAAUUAUAAUCCUGG